GGGGGGGGGGGGGGGGGGGGGGGGGGCGGGGGGGGCGGGCGGGGGCGGCGGGGGGGGUGGCGGGGGGGUGAGUGAGGGGUGGGAGCGUGCCCUUUGGUUCGGAACAACUCAGGGAAACUUGAGCUAAUACCGGAUGUGCCCUUCGGGGGAAAGAUUUAUCGCCAUUGGAGCGGCCCGCGUCUGAUUAGCUAGUUGGUGAGGUAACGGCCCACCAAGGCGACGAUCAGUAGCUGGUCUGAGAGGAUGAUCAGCCACACUGGGAAUGAGACACGGCCCAGACUCCUACGGGAGGCAGCAGUGGGGAAUCUUGCGCAAUGGGCGAAAGCCUGACGCAGCCAUGCCGCGUGAAUGGUGAAGGUCUUAGGAUUGUAAAAUUCUUUCAGCGGGGACGAUAAUGACGGUACCCGCAGAAGAAGCGCCGGCUAACUUCGUG
Molecule: ribosomal RNA, 433 nt
Filed under: uncultured bacterium
Lineage: Bacteria
Description: partial 16S ribosomal RNA
Rfam family: Bacterial small subunit ribosomal RNA (bases 45-433)
Source: RNAcentral